GUUCGACUUUUUAUAAUUUUGCUUAGAUGCUAAACGAAUCUGAAAAUAAUUUCAUGCUUUUCAACAAGCCUUCAUGCAAUUUCGCAAAAAAUAGGCUUCAUGCAAACAAAAUGGUUGGAAUAAUGACUCGAUUUUGAUUUUGUAGACAUGAAAACAAGUGCAACCUCCCAGAUCCAUUUUUCAGAAAUUUUGAACUUGGCAUCCUAGAAUUCUCAUUGUGACAACUUGUUUGUCAGAAUGACAUCUUGUUCCAACCUUCAAAGAUAAACCUCUUACUGAGGAGUAUGGCAACUAAUGGUGAGUAUGAUACUUGCGCCUUGUGGUACCAACGUUUUAGUGUUGACAUAGAAGUUUUUGGUAGAAUAAUGUUAGAAUUUUGUAGUUCUUAUUGCUCUCAUAUAUUUAGGUUCAACGACAUGCCAAUUGAUGAUUUAUACAGUGCUGUUUUAAUUUAUUUAUUUUGCAAUUCUAUACUUCUAACUUAAGAAAAAUAUAUUUACAUAGAGGCAAUGUAGUAUUUUAUUAAAUACUUUGAUUGUCGGGAGUGUCAUAUAUUUCUAUUCUGCAAGACAGAUGGUGGAUCAAUUGCAAUAGCUGACCAAUAUAUAGAGAUAGGUAUGCAAAUUUCAGUUCCAUAUUUCGUGAUUCCAUAUAUUUACAUAAUUCCCUAUAAUUAUGCUGACAUAAUAGAUGGGCGCGGCAACUCGCGCCACCAUGCACUCGAAGAUGAAGUGAGAGCUUGCUUGGAGGGCCUGGAGCUUAGCCUCCAACAUAGCCACAUGGUUGCAUGCUCAGUAUCUAUGUGUUCAUGCCUACAAAACUACUGCACACUAUAAUCUGUCUGCAGUGUCACGGACAAGAAUGUCACCUUCUCCGGUCAAAUACCAAAGGCAGCCGUGCAGUCUCUUUUUCUUCAGUAGCAUAACGCAUAAUGCAUAAUGCUUCUCCAGUGGCUGCUGAGCUUUACUUCCAUGCCCAUACUUGGAUAUAGCUUGCAUAUAAAGCAAUUCCACAUUGCAGGUACAGAUUUUGGAGUAUUCAAAAUGACCAUCCUUUAUUUCUUAAUUCUUACUUGGUUCCAAUGCCUACUAUUGUCAAAAUGACCAUCCUUUAUUUCUUAAUUCUUACUUGGUUCCAAUGCCUACUAUCAGUGAGAUCUUCAUGAUUAAUCAGGUGGAGGAACAUAAGUUUCUCAUUAAACCAAUUGCUCAAAGGAGGCAUAUGUCCUCCAGUUAGGUUGGAUAGUUAAGUAAUAUAUUUAUUAUGUAUUACUGGAUACUGAGCAAUAUAUUUCCUUUACCAAGGUGCACACAAUUUUAUUGAAUUUAGACUUUUGAUGGUACAAGCUGUAUGUUCUAUAGUUUUUCGUAUGUGCUUCGGUGCAGCUUUAUUUCUUGAUUCACUAUGACAACUGGCAUUCUAAGUAUGCCAAACAUGAAUUUCAGUUGAUUGGUUUGCUUAGUUGGGUUUGAAUGAUAGCUGACUUUCCUUUUUUUCGGAGGUAGAAAAUAUUCUGAAGAAAAUGCAUAUGGAGCAAUCUUGAGGGUGUUGUUUAUCAGGCGAGAGGUAUGUUUGUUACCUUAGUCCACAUAGUUUACUAUAUCUAAUUUACUGUUAUCAAUCUGGAAGGUAACUGAUUCUAACAUGCAAUUAAAAUUCAAUCUAAAACACGCUGAUUGCUCAACAUUGGCAUGAAUGCGGAAGUGACCUUUUGGUAUUGCUCGACAAGCAAUGGUACGGUACGAAGACCAAAGAAUGCUGACUAGAGUGAGCUCUGCCAUCUGUGUACAAAUUGGGGUCCCUUGGAUCUCCUUAUGUAGCCCCAUCAUUUUUUUACUUUCUCAGUUUGCUACAAUAUCAGGUAACUUUUAUUUGCAUGGUACAUGUGAUGAGUGUUGUAAAUACUCUUUAUGCACACGCCCUUUUAAUUCUUUUGCAUUGGUUUCCUGGUCAUGUUUGUGAGGUCAAAAUUGGUGAGAACAAAAAAGUUUACUUAUUUAGAACUGCAUAAUCGUCCUGUGGGAAAACCCGCAAUAUUUAAUGGUAAAUUGUUCUCUCUCUCCAUAGGAUUUCACCUCAGUCCUAUGCUUUUUUUUUUCUUGCUAGGUAAUACUACUAAAAUUAGGCAACAGCUUAACACAUUGAUUGGUCGCCAGUUAGUUUGUGUUCUUGAUGAAUAUACAAAUUAAGUGCCAUCUGGCUUUCUUUUGCAAGACUUUUCUUCAGCAAAAAUAAGAAUAAUUCAAACACAUGCUAAUGCACCCUUCCUGUGUUGUAUGUGUAGGUUAUUAUAUUCUUUCCAUACAAACUAAAGAAAUUUAAGUUGUUAGAAGUUCCGGCUCCUUUUUGCCCCUGUCAUUUAACAUCAUUUUCUGGUGUGCAGGUUAGCAGGCAAGCUUGAUGAAAUAGGUCAACAUGGUAACCUGUAUCAACCUCUAGAACUUAGGAUGUUGUUUAAUGGUGUUUUUUAUUUUCUUUAUAAUACUCAUUAUGAUUAUACAGUUCAGUAAUUAAAGGAGUCGCAUCCAGAAUUUCCUGGUGUGACUAAUGAAGUCAGGAUUUCCCCCCUGUA
Molecule: long non-coding RNA, 2572 nt
Organism: Lolium perenne
Lineage: Eukaryota; Viridiplantae; Streptophyta; Magnoliopsida; Poales; Poaceae
Source: RefSeq, a predicted model, not a curated record